This 497-nucleotide ribosomal RNA is filed under the name uncultured bacterium. Its description in RNAcentral is "partial 16S ribosomal RNA". It matches the Rfam family "Bacterial small subunit ribosomal RNA", at positions 28 to 507 of the family's 1533-position model. The record is from RNAcentral.
GAUGAACGCUGGCGGCGUGCCUAAUACAUGCAAGUCGAGCGAACGGACGAGAAGCUUGCUUUUCUGAUGUUAGCGGCGGACGGGUGAGUAACACGUGGAUAUCCUACCUAUAAGACUGGGAUAACUUCGGGAAACCGGAGCUAAUACCGGAUAAUAUUUUGAACCGCAUGGUUCAAAAGUGAAAGACGGUCUUGCUGUCACUUAUAGAUGGAUCCGCGCUGCAUUAGCUAGUUGGUAAGGUAACGGCUUACCAAGGCGACGAUGCAUAGCCGACCUGAGAGGGUGAUCGGCCACACUGGAACUGAGACACGGUCCAGACUCCUACGGGAGGCAGCAGUAGGGAAUCUUCCGCAAUGGGCGAAAGCCUGACGGAGCAACGCCGCGUGAGUGAUGAAGGUCUUCGGAUCGUAAAACUCUGUUAUUAGGGAAGAACAUAUGUGUAAGUAACUGUGCACAUCUUGACGGUACCUAAUCAGAAAGCCACGGCUAACUACGUG